This 397-nucleotide ribosomal RNA is filed under the name uncultured bacterium. RNAcentral describes it as "partial 16S ribosomal RNA". It matches the Rfam family "Bacterial small subunit ribosomal RNA", at positions 523 to 918 of the family's 1533-position model. The record is from RNAcentral.
AUACGUAGGUGGCAAGCGUUGUCCGGAAUUACUGGGUGUAAAGGGCGUGUAGGCGGGGAUGCAAGUCAGAUGUGAAAUUCCGGGGCUCAACCCCGGCACUGCAUCUGAAACUGUGUCUCUUGAGUGCUGGAGAGGAAAGCGGAAUUCCUAGUGUAGCGGUGAAAUGAGUAGAUAUUAGGAGGAACACCAGUGGCGAAGGCGGCUUUCUGGACAGUAACUAACGCUGAGGCGCGAAAGCGUGGGUAGCGAACAGGAUUAGAUACCCUGGUAGUCCACGCCGUAAACGAUGGAUACUAGGUGUAGGAGGUAUCGACCCCUUCUGUGCCGGAGUUAACACAAUAAGUAUCCCACCUGGGGAGUACGGCCGCAAGGUUGAAACUCAAAUGAAUUGACGGGG